This 210-nucleotide unclassified non-coding RNA is filed under the name plant metagenome. RNAcentral's name for it is "partial contains small subunit ribosomal RNA, internal transcribed spacer 1, and 5.8S ribosomal RNA". The record is from RNAcentral.
GCUCCGUUGGUGAACCAGCGGAGGGAUCAUUACUGGAAUCGCAAGAUCCCACAACCCCUGUGAACCUACCGAAACGUUGCCUCGGCGGGCGCCCGGCCCCGCGCCGGGCGCUGAGCCCGCCGGCGGCCCCCUACUCUUGUCUCUGCAGCGUGGCAUCCCAGAGUCCCAGAAAACAAGUAAAAACUUUCAACAACGGAUCUCUUGGCUCUA